UGGGGAAUAUUGGACAAUGGGCGCAAGCCUGAUCCAGCCAUGCCGCGUGAGUGAUGACGGCCUUAGGGUUGUAAAGCUCUUUCGCUCGGGACGAUAAUGACGGUACCGAGAUAAGGAGCCCCGGCUAACUUCGUGCCAGCAGCCGCGGUAAUACGAAGGGGGCUAGCGUUGUUCGGAAUUACUGGGCGUAAAGGGUUCGUAGGCGGUGCGGCAAGUUGGGAGUGAAAUCUCUGGGCUUAACCCAGAGGCUGCUUCCAAAACUGCCGUGCUCGAGUGCGGGAGAGGCGAGUGGAAUUGCAGGUGUAGCGGUGAAAUGCGUAGAUAUCUGCAGGAACACCCGUGGCGAAGGCGAUCAUCUGGGGCUAACCUGACACUGAGGAGCGAAAGCUAGGGGAGCAAACGGGAUUAGAUACCCCGGUAGUCCUAGCCGUAAACGAUGGACACUAGGUGUAGGUGGUAUCGACUCCAUCUGUGCCGCAGUUAACACAAUAAGUGUCCCGCCUGGGGAGUACGGCCGCAAGG
This 522-nucleotide ribosomal RNA is filed under the name uncultured bacterium. Its description in RNAcentral is "bacterial SSU rRNA". It matches the Rfam family "Bacterial small subunit ribosomal RNA", at positions 355 to 893 of the family's 1533-position model. The record is from RNAcentral.